UCUGGCUAAACAUUCAUUAUCUGUCACUAG
Molecule: non-coding RNA, 30 nt
Filed under: Mus musculus (house mouse)
Lineage: Eukaryota; Metazoa; Chordata; Mammalia; Rodentia; Muridae
Source: RNAcentral